This 471-nucleotide ribosomal RNA is filed under the name Salmonella enterica subsp. enterica serovar Thompson. RNAcentral describes it as "bacterial SSU rRNA". It matches the Rfam family "Bacterial small subunit ribosomal RNA", at positions 1 to 468 of the family's 1533-position model. The record is from RNAcentral. Lineage: Bacteria; Pseudomonadati; Pseudomonadota; Gammaproteobacteria; Enterobacterales; Enterobacteriaceae. RNAcentral also lists the same sequence under 1 other name.
AAAUUGAAGAGUUUGAUCAUGGCUCAGAUUGAACGCUGGCGGCAGGCCUAACACAUGCAAGUCGAACGGUAACAGGAAGCAGCUUGCUGCUUCGCUGACGAGUGGCGGACGGGUGAGUAAUGUCUGGGAAGCUGCCUGAUGGAGGGGGAUAACUACUGGAAACGGUGGCUAAUACCGCAUAACGUCGCAAGACCAAAGAGGGGGACCUUCGGGCCUCUUGCCAUCAGAUGUGCCCAGAUGGGAUUAGCUAGUUGGUGAGGUAACGGCUCACCAAGGCGACGAUCCCUAGCUGGUCUGAGAGGAUGACCAGCCACACUGGAACUGAGACACGGUCCAGACUCCUACGGGAGGCAGCAGUGGGGAAUAUUGCACAAUGGGCGCAAGCCUGAUGCAGCCAUGCCGCGUGUAUGAAGAAGGCCUUAGGGUUGUAAAGUACUUUCAGCGGGGAGGAAGGUGUUGUGGUUAAUAACC